GGGCCCGCACAAGCGGUGGAGCAUGUGGUUUAAUUCGACGCAACGCGCAGAACCUUACCAGCCCUUGACAUGUCCAGGACCGGUCGCAGAGAUGUGACCCUCUCUUCGGAGCCUGGAGCACAGGUGCUGCAUGGCUGUCGUCAGCUCGUGUCGUGAGAUGUUGGGUUAAGUCCCGCAACGAGCGCAACCCCCGUCCUUAGUUGCUACCAUUUAGUUGAGCACUCUAAGGAGACUGCCGGUGAUAAGCCGCGAGGAAGGUGGGGAUGACGUCAAGUCCUCAUGGCCCUUACGGGCUGGGCUACACACGUGCUACAAUGGCGGUGACAAUGGGAUGCUAAGGGGCGACCCUUCGCAAAUCUCAAAAAGCCGUCUCAGUUCGGAUUGGGCUCUGCAACUCGAGCCCAUGAAGUUGGAAUCGCUAGUAAUCGUGGAUCAGCACGCCACGGUGAAUACGUUCCCGGGCCUUGUACACACCGCCCGUCACACCAUGGGAGUUGGUUUUACCUGAAGACGGUGCGCUAACCCGCAAGGGAGGCACCCGGCCACGGUAGGGUCAGCGACUGGG
RNAcentral lists this ribosomal RNA (565 nucleotides) under Bradyrhizobium sp. ORS 1412. Its description in RNAcentral is "bacterial SSU rRNA". It matches the Rfam family "Bacterial small subunit ribosomal RNA", at positions 917 to 1479 of the family's 1533-position model. Lineage: Bacteria; Pseudomonadati; Pseudomonadota; Alphaproteobacteria; Hyphomicrobiales; Nitrobacteraceae. The record is from RNAcentral.